CCUACGGGGGGCAGCAGUGAGGAAUAUUGGUCAAUGGACGAGAGUCUGAACCAGCCAAGUAGCGUGAAGGAUGACUGCCCUAUGGGUUGUAAACUUCUUUUAUAUGGGAAUAAAAUGUUCCACGUGUGGGAUUUUGUAUGUACCAUAUGAAUAAGGAUCGGCUAACUCCGUGCCAGCAGCCGCGGUAAUACGGAGGAUCCGAGCGUUAUCCGGAUUUAUUGGGUUUAAAGGGAGCGUAGGUGGAUUGUUAAGUCAGUUGUGAAAGUUUGCGACUCAACCGUAAAAUUGCAGUUGAAACUGGCAGUCUUGAGUACAGUAGAGGUGGGCGGAAUUCGUGGUGUAGCGGUGAAAUGCUUAGAUAUCACGAAGAACUCCGAUUGCGAAGGCAGUUCACUGGACUGCAACUGACACUGAGGCUCGAAAGUGUGGGUAUCAAACAGGAUAGAUACCCCAGUAGUC
This 459-nucleotide ribosomal RNA is filed under the name uncultured bacterium. RNAcentral's name for it is "partial 16S ribosomal RNA". It matches the Rfam family "Bacterial small subunit ribosomal RNA", at positions 338 to 795 of the family's 1533-position model. The record is from RNAcentral.